This is a long non-coding RNA of Gallus gallus (chicken), 2666 nucleotides long. Lineage: Eukaryota; Metazoa; Chordata; Aves; Galliformes; Phasianidae. The record is from Ensembl.
GUCAUUGUGUGUUGUACUUUUUAAUAGUUCUGCUAGUCUUGUCCUACACCCUGAAAGUAAAUAGAUGGUUCAGCAAAAGCAGAAGUUGCAAGAGAAGAGGAAAUUUUACAAAUGUGCUUCCUUUAUAACAUGGAAAUGAUCGCGUUUCUUAAUGCUUUUAAGAUUCAAGGUUUACUAUUUUAUUGUCCACUGAUUGUUGCCAAAGUUCUCUCAUUGGAGUUUGCUGUCCGACUUCAGACAUUCCACCAGAAAAAAAAGGAGGAAGUCUGUGAUAUCCCUGCAGAAGAUGGGGGAAAGGAAUAAAACUACCAGAAAAAUGUGGCACUUCCUCUCUGAAUUUUCCCUCUGCUGCAUUCCACCCAUGGAUGGGAAGAGUCUCAGACCCAAAUGGUAUGAGGCCCAGACAGGUAUGCCGCUAUUUUGUGAUUCAAAAGCCAGAUACUUAUAUGUUUGAAAAUGAGAACUAGGUUAUUCUCUUAUCUUAUAGAUAUCAGUUAUAUAACUGUAAUGAUACUAUACAUAUGCUAUAAUGAUUCUGUACUUUUGUACUUUUAAUGACCUUUGUCUUGCCAGUACUAUAACUGUAAAGAUGCGUAAGAUCAUCUUGAAGAUUCUUGACAUCUUAGAAGAAAACUCUACAUGGGCAAGCAGACCAUGUGGUCACCAGUUAUGUUUAGAAUUAGUACAUGGAAAGUACAUUAACAUCUGUCAUGAAAUUUUGCUCUAAAAACGAAAAUUUGAUAUUUUAUUUUGACAAGUGUAUUUCUUCUAUCUCAGGAUAAUGUGACACUCAAUCCCCACUCUCACUGAGGCAUACCUCUGUUUGGCAAAAGAUCAGCUGUACAUACACAGGGUCAGAUGUGACUUCUGGGGAUGCAGUGGUUGACACAGCCAAAAAUGGAACAUGACCUCAGAAGGUUAGGCUUCCUGGGUCAGGAAAGAGGGUCAGACUUGAAGAUUUAGAACAAAACUUCAGAACUGGGACUCUUAUCUCUGCACCUGCGGUACAGCAUGCCUGGUAAAUUGGAUCCUAUAUUGGCAGCUUCAUGGAAUUGCAUCAGGAGCACUGAAGUUUCUGUGAUGGGAACAAAGUACACAAACAGGAACUGGACUGAAACCAACUACAUAUUUCACUGGAUUGGAUGGGAAGAAAACAAGGUGAAUGAGCCCAUACAUAUCAUCUCUUUAUAAUAAGAUCCUCUCCCCAAAUGGAAAAUGCUGAGCCACUGAGCCACUUGUUUUUUGUUAAUGCUAAGCCCUACAGGAUUCUGCAACCCUUGCUAAUAUCUCCUGAACACCUCCAGGGACAAUGACUCUACCACCUCCCUGGGCAGCCCACUCCAGUGCCUGACCACUCUCCUGAGUCCAGCCUGAAUCUCCCCUGGCACAACUUGACGCCAUUCCUCCAGUCUUAUUGUUAUUUAUAUGGGAGAAGAGAUUGACUCUCACCUUACCACAACCUCCUUUCAGGUAGUUGUAGAGAGCAAUAAGGUUUCCCCUGAUCUUCCUCUUCUCCAGACUAAACAAACCCAGUUCCCUCAGCCAUCCCCAUAAGACCUGUGCUCCAGAUCCCUUCACCAGCUUUGUUGCCCUUCUCUGAACACACUCCAGAGCCUCAAUGUCUUUCUUGUAGUGAGGGGUCCAAAACUGAACUCAAUACUCAAGGUGCAGCCUCACCAGAGCUGACUAGAAGGAUGAUCACCUCCCUGCUCGUACUGUGUACACUAUUUCUGAUACAAGCCAGGAUGCCAUUGGCCUUCUUGGCCAUCUUGGCACACUGUCGGCUCAUGUUCAGCCAGCUAUUGACUUGCACCCUCAGAUCAUUUUUGCCGUGCAGCUUUCCAACCACUCUGCCCCAGGUCUGUUGCAUUGAAUGGGGUUGUUAUGACCAAAGUUCAGGACACAGCACUUGGUCUUGUUGAACAUCAUAAAAUUGGCCUUAUCCUAUUUCUCCAGAAAUAGGGUAAAGAAGACUCACACACAAAAAAGAGAUUUUCUCUGGUUCUCCUUGAUGGUCCCCCUGUCUUUGCUGUCCUGGGAACUGUCCAUCUUGUGAGCUGUCUUUAUGUUAGUGCAUUUCAUAAACAAUUAAAAUCUGAACAUUAAAAACUGUACAAACACCAUUUUUAGUAUUUAUUUCUUUCCCAUCAAUGAUAAUGACCACUAAGCCUUGAAAGACUUGCAAGGCUUUCAUCAGACUUGCAGAAGUAUUGAUCCGUUCUCUAAAUCAAAGGCUCUCUUCAUCUUUUCCUAUACUUUUCAGAGCAUUCUUUUUCCUGAUGGUAACUUGUCAUACGUUUGAUUUUAAAGACCCAUAACCCAUGCAAGCAUUCGGGUAUGUUUUGCACACUCCAAAUACAUUCUGAAAAAAACUUGGCUGCAGCAUCUCCUUCUCAAUCUCUUGCCUUCAUACAUUUUUUAUUAGUGUUGUAAUCUAAAUAUAAAAUGAGUAUACCAUUCACCUAGGCUAAUCAGAUCUGACUACAUAUAAAUGAUAUUUGGGAUUCUGCCCUGCAUGAGGACAUUGACUGCCUCCCUGAGGACAUAAUUUUACUGUUGAGGUUUAUGAUUAGGAAGGCUAAUCAGCCUUGUGAUGCACUCUUCAGUAUUUCAUUAUUGCGAGAUUAAUUUUUUUUUUCUAACUGUUGAAAGAAACUGGAAAUACA